Molecule: ribosomal RNA, 301 nt
Filed under: uncultured bacterium
Lineage: Bacteria
Description: partial 16S ribosomal RNA
Rfam family: Bacterial small subunit ribosomal RNA
Source: RNAcentral
CAGUAGCCGCGGUAAGACGGAGGGUGCUAGCGUUGUUCGGAAUCACUGGGCGUAAAGGGCGCGUAGGCGGCCUGUUAAGUCGGAUGUGAAAGCCCGGGGCUCAACCCCGGAACUGCAUCCGAGACUGGCAGGCUUGAGACCGGGAGAGGAGGGUGGAAUAUCCAGUGUAGAGGUGAAAUUCGUAGAUAUUGGAUGGAACACCGGUGGCGAAAGCGGCUCUCUGGCCCGGAUCUGACGCUGAGGCGCGAAAGCGUGGGGAGCAAACAGGAUUAGAUACCCCUGUAGUCCCUGUCUCUUAUAC